This is a long non-coding RNA of Numida meleagris (helmeted guineafowl), 2013 nucleotides long. RefSeq lists it as uncharacterized. The transcript has 3 exons. NCBI's taxonomy places the organism in Eukaryota, Metazoa, Chordata, Aves, Galliformes, Numididae. The record is from RefSeq and is a predicted model, not a curated record.
UGGUGGUUGGGGGGGGGUCUGCUGCUAGGCUUCAGUGUGAAAGUGCCGUGCUCUGCUUUCUUCAGGUGUUUGUAUCCCAGCCUGAUGGCUGUUAAAUGCCCGAAUUGUUAAGUGGUUAAGCAUGUGGGUAGCACCUCUUCCACUCACCAGGCUUCCUGACCUGCUUAAUAUUGAAGUAAUGAGGAAUCUCUGAAGGAGGUGGAAUGCUCUGUCAGUGCUGGAAGAUCAGCAUUAUUUGUGAGGCUACGCAACACCCCUCCCAGAACCUGGGUGUUCUCUCCAGCCCUUGGAAAUAAUACUCCUGAGAGGUGCUGCCAUCACAACUUACACUCUGAGAGUCAUAGAAUCAUUUAGAUUGGCUGUGGGAAGCCAGACCCGUGGAGGAAGAUCUUUGUGUUGAGAUAUGUUAGCUCAGUGCAGGAGAGAUGAACUUCAAGCACUUUCAUGGCAAAAGAUUUUCUUUUCCUCUUACCAUUUUUAAUGUCAUCCCUAUCAAAUAUUGGGCAGAUAGAUUUUAUGUCCACAGGCUCCUUUGCACUUGGAUGUUUUAAUAAUGGCUUUGACUUCUGUGUCUAGAAUGGCUUCCUUGAAUGUAUUCCUCCUUUUUAAAUAAUGAUCCCUAUGACAAAUUAGUCCGCUCAGGAAAUAAUGACUGGACAAAGAGCCAGCUAAAAAUAAAGCGAACAUAGAAAUAUAUAUAUAUGGAUAGACAUAUAGAUAACUUAGAAAUUUGACAGUAUCUUUUGCUUCUUUAUGUUCCUUUUGUGUGAUGUUUGUAGCAGUAUUGUACAAGGUUGCUGUUUCUGUUAAGAUCUAGCUAUUUCUUCAUAAGUGAAAUGUUCAUCUGAAUAAAAUCACAGCAGUGAGACUCUGUAAAGCUACCUUUAUCAAUAGAGAUUUUAUUAAUGGGAAGAAGUUCACUGCCUUAAGAGCUUUCUAUGCAGUUGUUUUGAGCUGAUGUGUAUAAGUAGGCAGGGACUUGUCAUGCAGUUGUCUUUUGUGGGAAAGUUUUAUUCUAUAAAAAUUAAAACUUUGGGAAAGUUCCUAUUUUGGAAGAAUGUUUUGGUUCUGUAAGAGAGCUGGCAUCAGACAGCACUCUCCAGAUCUCCACAGUGAAUAGGUAAGAGGCAUUUCCAGGAGAAGGCAGUGAAUGUCAUUGUGCUUGUUCAAAAUAAGUUUUCAGAGAAGUUGUCAUAUGCAUUGUAGUUCUCACUGCAUUUGGCUUGCACAUGGAAAUUUGGUCAUUGCUGGUCAUAAAACUUGAGCAGUGAUGAAGUUCACUUUCAGACAGUGCAGUUCUCUGAGUUUGAACAUCGAUAAAGCAGAGGAACUUGGAGAUCAAGCAGAGAGAGUAAAGUAAAACUGCAACUUGUCAGCAUAAUUAUGGAAACAAAUCAUAUUUAUAGUAUAUGUAGAGCUAGAAGUGCCAGACCUUGAUUAAUAAUCAAUUGUAAUUACUAUUUAGAAUUAAUUGCAUUCCUGAACUGCUGACUUGAAAAAUGAUUCGGAAGCAUUUUCCCACACCUUCUUUGAGGUACUACUAACUUGAUGUUGAGAAUUUAAUAACUUGAAUAUCAUAUCACUGUCCUUGUAUUAUCAUUACGUCCCUUUUGAAUGUGUUUCAUGAAGAAUUAAAAAUAUGCAAACACAACAAUAGCUGUAAUUCUUGUUACUUGAGCUUGCAUUGUGGUUGACUUUGCUGUGUCCUUGCUGUGUUGCCUUUAAUAGAUCUGUAUGUAACAUAUUUGUUGCCAACACUAGGUGUCACACUAAGUAUGUUUCUGCUUCUGGCAUGAAACAAAACCCUUUGCCAGUAAAUGAGACUGUAAAGCUCUUCCCAGAACGUCCUCCCAGUCCGGACUCAAAGUCAGCAGGAGUUUUCCCAUUGAUUUAUGUGCAGUUGCAUUUGUGCCCUUGAUGCUCACCUUGUUUCACUCUCUGUAGAACUGCAGCAAAUGGACACAAAUUGCCAGUUCAGCAGCCCUGUGGAUUUGGUGGCCCCAUUCAGUGUAC